Molecule: transfer RNA, 73 nt
Organism: Ovis aries (sheep)
Lineage: Eukaryota; Metazoa; Chordata; Mammalia; Artiodactyla; Bovidae
Rfam family: tRNA
About the family: Transfer RNA (tRNA) molecules are approximately 80 nucleotides in length.
Source: Rfam
UCCCUGGUGGUCCAGUGGCUAAGACCUCACACUCCCAAUGCAGGAGGCCCAGGUUCGAUCCCUGGCCAGGGAA